AAGACUAUACUUUCAGGGAUCAUUUCUAUAGUAUGUUUCUAGAGAAGUUUCUCUGAUCGUGUAAAGUACCAGAAACCACGAGGAGGAGUUGAGUGUUCUGUCCAGAGAGUGAAGUUGGUUCUAGGUGUUGCAUUACUGCAACUGCCUUUUUAAUUGCAUCCUUAAUUCUCUUUAGAGAUUAAGAGGAGAGAACAGUCUGAGUGGUU
Small nucleolar RNA from Ictidomys tridecemlineatus (thirteen-lined ground squirrel), 206 nucleotides. NCBI's taxonomy places the organism in Eukaryota, Metazoa, Chordata, Mammalia, Rodentia, Sciuridae. The record is from Ensembl.